This 253-nucleotide ribosomal RNA is filed under the name uncultured bacterium. RNAcentral's name for it is "partial 16S ribosomal RNA". It matches the Rfam family "Bacterial small subunit ribosomal RNA", at positions 524 to 776 of the family's 1533-position model. The record is from RNAcentral.
UACAGAGGGUGCAAGCGUUGUUCGGAAUUACUGGGCGUAAAGAGCGUGUAGGCGGUCUAGAAAGUCAGAUGUGAAAUCCCCGGGCUUAACCCGGGACGUGCAUUUGAAACUCCUAGGCUAGAGUGUGGUAGAGGAUAGUGGAAUACCUAGUGUAGUGGUGAAAUACGUAGAUAUUAGGUAGAACACCGGUGGCGAAGGCGGCUAUCUGGGCCACAACUGACGCUGAGACGCGAAAGCGUGGGGAGCAAACAGG